This 275-nucleotide ribosomal RNA is filed under the name uncultured prokaryote. RNAcentral describes it as "partial 16S ribosomal RNA". It matches the Rfam family "Bacterial small subunit ribosomal RNA", at positions 524 to 798 of the family's 1533-position model. The record is from RNAcentral.
UACGGAGGAUCCGAGCGUUAUCCGGAUUUAUUGGGUUUAAAGGGUGCGCAGGCGGGGGAUUAAGUCGGCGGUGAAAUUUUGAAGCUCAACUGUAAAAGUGCCUUCGAAACUGGUUUCCUUGAGUGUAGAUGAAGUAGGCGGAAUUUGUGGUGUAGCGGUGAAAUGCAUAGAUAUCACGAGGAACUCCGAUUGCGCAGGCAGCUUACUAAACUACUACUGACGCUCAGGCACGAAGGCGUGGGGAUCAAACAGGAUUAGAUACCCUGGUAGUCCCU